ACACGUUUUGUCACCAGUACUUUAUUAUAAUUAGAUCUUUUUUCAUUUCUAUUCUAGUGAUAUUUACCACUCCAGCACCGCGAGCUGCAAUAAUGAGUUUUUACAUUUUGUAAUGUCAUUUGAAGGCGGUGGCAAGCAAGCACAUAUGUACAUGAAGCAGCCAGCUGUGCAGAUGCGAGUUGUGUCGGAUGAAUGGAAUGAAUGUUGCGUGCACUUUUAACACGUUCGCUUUGCUCUGUUACCUACCGGUGGGUUACACACAUCUUUCAUUAAAGGCCACGGGGCCCCACCGGUAGUCACAUAUUAUUAUUUUGUAUGGAGGUUUGUUGGUGCAAGAUUUUUUGCUGUCUGGCAUAUAGAUAAGUCACUUCUUGGUUAUAGGAAAGCUAUAUGGAUAUUUGCUGUUUUAUUGAUUUUUUAGAUUCAAAACAAUUUUAAGUAUGUAAAAACAUAAAAUGAUUGAAAACAAAACAGUUAGUCACACUCUUUAAAAAACAAAAUGUACAAAAAACGUGAAACAAAAAUAAAAAAAACUAAAUAUAUAACUACUUAGUAAUGCUGCCUUUAAAAUAAAUGUUGAUGUCACCACAGUAAACCUUUUUGCUUUUCUAUGGUGGCAGCGAACGUGUUAAUUAUUAAGAAAAAAUUCUCAUUUACCUUUAGGUUGUUUUAAAAGAUGAGUUACUUGCCAUUACAGCAUUUUCUUUAUAAGAAAAAACAAAUAUUGUAUUUUAAUUGAAAAUAACUUGUAAAUAAUGUAGCUUACUUUGGUAAAUAAAGUUAAUAUUUUGUAGUACUGCGCCUCAUUAAGUGCAUCCUAAUUUAUUGCUGUUUCAUUUAAAGUUUGCGAAAACAGAAUUUAAAACAAAUUUCCGUAAAAGGAAAAAAAUCCUUUGUGCAGUAACAUUCAUUCAUCAUCAGCAGCAUUACGUCGCACUGCGCAUGAGCGAUUCUAAAAGCAGCAGGUAUAUUAACAGCAGCGACAUUACGUAGUUAUAUCGUGCAACUAAAGAGCUACGCUGUUAGGGGGGUUAAGUUAGGAUAUUUAUCAAAUGCAUUAUAUUAAAAGGUAUAUCAGCAAGGAGGAACAACUAAAGACAGCAUUUUAAUAUUUACAUUUAGAUUUUAGGUUACUUAUUUAUAUUAAGUAAUUAAUAAAGAAUUGAAAAAUAAGCAAA
Rhagoletis pomonella (apple maggot) is the source of this 1178-nucleotide long non-coding RNA. RefSeq lists it as uncharacterized. NCBI's taxonomy places the organism in Eukaryota, Metazoa, Arthropoda, Insecta, Diptera, Tephritidae. The transcript is spliced from 4 exons. The record is from RefSeq and is a predicted model, not a curated record.